Molecule: ribosomal RNA, 274 nt
Filed under: uncultured bacterium
Lineage: Bacteria
Description: partial 16S ribosomal RNA
Rfam family: Bacterial small subunit ribosomal RNA
Source: RNAcentral
AUACGGAGGGUGCAAGCGUUAUCCGGAAUUACUGGGUUUAAAGGGUGCGUAGGCGGUUUAAUAAGUCAGAAGUGAAAAGUCCGGGCUCAACCGGGGCCUUGCUUUUGAUACUGUUAGACUUGAAUUAGGCUGAGGUUAGCGGAAUGUGACAUGUAGCGGUGGAAUGCAUAGAUAUGUCAUAGAACACCAAUUGCGAAGGCAGCUAACUAGACCUUAAUUGACGCUGAGGCACGAAAGCGUGGGGAGCGAACAGGAUUAGAAACCCUAGUAGUCC